Rhineura floridana is the source of this 584-nucleotide long non-coding RNA. RefSeq lists it as uncharacterized. The transcript has 4 exons. The record is from RefSeq and is a predicted model, not a curated record. Lineage: Eukaryota; Metazoa; Chordata; Lepidosauria; Squamata; Rhineuridae.
UGAGUCUGCACACUUUAGAAUGUCUCAACAAGACUGUUAUGAUCAAAGACAGCCCCCCCAUUCAAGCAAAAUCUUGGAAGGCUGUAUAACAAGGCUGCAGUCCUGCAUACCUGGUGUGACGAAGAAAUAGGCUGGCUCAGGAAUAAAAGCACAGCUAAGAUGUUCCAUACACAAGCAACUGACCAACCCAACAGCAACCUCUACUUGCUUUCCUUUCCUUUAUAAGGACUUACAGGAUGCUGGUGCCAACCAGAAGGAGGAGGUUUGGAAUCUUAGCAGGUAGCUUUGCCACAUGGAAGAGUUCAACUGUGCAAGAUUUUGGGGGGUUGAAAAACCACUAAAAGUGGAUGUCCAUCUCCUGUACAGCAAGACGUAAAGACUUAAAAAACCCUGUAUGAUGCAAUUGAUCAUUCCCAGCGUGAGAUGUCCACCAGUAGCAUUCCAGCUGUUCCUCCUCAUUUGUUGUAGGCCUCUAGUAAACCAUAAUGACUGACUGGAAUGAAAUCUGUGGAUAAUAAAAUAUCCUUGCCUUGAUUCAUCAGUUGAUCCAAAGAUAAGAUUUGAUUUUAGAGAUUCAACUGCUC